UACAGAGGGUGCAAGCGUUGCUCGGAUUUACUGGGCGUAAAGCGUACGCAGACGGCCACGCAGGUCGGGUGUGAAAGCCCCGGGCUCAACCCGGGAAUUGCAUUCGAAACCAUGUGGCUCGAGGAUGGGAGAGGAGAGCGGAAUUCUCGGUGUAGAGGUGAAAUUCGUAGAUAUCGAGAGGAACACCAGUGGCGAAAGCGGCUCUCUGGCCCAUUUCUGACGUUCAGGUACGAAAGCGUGGGGAGCAAACAGG
Molecule: ribosomal RNA, 253 nt
Filed under: uncultured bacterium
Lineage: Bacteria
Description: partial 16S ribosomal RNA
Rfam family: Bacterial small subunit ribosomal RNA
Source: RNAcentral